Molecule: ribosomal RNA, 468 nt
Filed under: uncultured bacterium
Lineage: Bacteria
Description: partial 16S ribosomal RNA
Rfam family: Bacterial small subunit ribosomal RNA
Source: RNAcentral
GACGAACGCUGGCGGCGUGCUUAACACAUGCAAGUCGAACGGAAAGGCCCUGCUUUUGUGGGGUGCUCGAGUGGCGAACGGGUGAGUAACACGUGAGUAACCUGCCCUUGACUUUGGGAUAACUUCAGGAAACUGGGGCUAAUACCGGAUAGGAGCUCCUGCUGCAUGGUGGGGGUUGGAAAGUUUCGGCGGUUGGGGAUGGACUCGCGGCUUAUCAGCUUGUUGGUGGGGUAGUGGCUUACCAAGGCUUUGACGGGUAGCCGGCCUGAGAGGGUGACCGGCCACAUUGGGACUGAGAUACGGCCCAGACUCCUACGGGAGGCAGCAGUGGGGAAUAUUGCACAAUGGGCGGAAGCCUGAUGCAGCAACGCCGCGUGCGGGAUGACGGCCUUCGGGUUGUAAACAGCUUUAGCCUGUGACGAAGCGUGAGUGACGGUAAUGGGUAAAGAAGCACCGGCUAACUACGUG